Molecule: transfer RNA, 73 nt
Filed under: Fidelibacterota bacterium
Lineage: Bacteria; Pseudomonadati; Fidelibacterota
Description: tRNA-Ala
Rfam family: tRNA
About the family: Transfer RNA (tRNA) molecules are approximately 80 nucleotides in length. Their secondary structure includes four short double-helical elements and three loops (D, anti-codon, and T loops).
Source: RNAcentral
GGGGAUAUAGCUCAGCUGGGAGAGCGCUUGAAUGGCAUUCAAGAGGUCAGCGGUUCGACCCCGCUUAUCUCCA